This 257-nucleotide ribosomal RNA is filed under the name uncultured bacterium. Its description in RNAcentral is "partial small subunit ribosomal RNA". It matches the Rfam family "Bacterial small subunit ribosomal RNA", at positions 26 to 286 of the family's 1533-position model. The record is from RNAcentral.
AGGACGAACGCUGGCGGCGUGCUUAACACAUGCAAGUCGAGCGGAAAGGCCCUUCGGGGUACUCGAGCGGCGAACGGGUGAGUAACACGUGAGUAAUCUGCCCCUAGCUCUGGGAUAGCUCCGGGAAAACCGGGAUUAAUACCAGAUACGACCACUUUAGACAUCUGCUGUGGUGGAAAGAAUUUCGGCUAGGGAUGAGCUCGCGGCCUAUCAGCUUGUUGGUGAGGUAACGGCUCACCAAAGGCGACGACGGGUAG